This 471-nucleotide ribosomal RNA is filed under the name uncultured bacterium. RNAcentral describes it as "partial 16S ribosomal RNA". It matches the Rfam family "Bacterial small subunit ribosomal RNA", at positions 28 to 506 of the family's 1533-position model. The record is from RNAcentral.
GACGAACGCUGGCGGCGUGCUUAACACAUGCAAGUCGAACGCUGAAGCUUGGUGCUUGCACUGGGUGGAUGAGUGGCGAACGGGUGAGUAAUACAUGAGUAACCUGCCCUUGACUCUGGGAUAAGCCUGGGAAACUGGGUCUAAUACUGGAUACGACAUGCCACUGCAUGGUGGUGUGUGGAAAGGGUUUUACUGGUUUUGGAUGGGCUCACGGCCUAUCAGCUUGUUGGUGGGGUAAUGGCCUACCAAGGCGACGACGGGUAGCCGGCCUGAGAGGGUGACCGGCCACACUGGGACUGAGACACGGCCCAGACUCCUACGGGAGGCAGCAGUGGGGAAUAUUGCACAAUGGGCGGAAGCCUGAUGCAGCGACGCCGCGUGAGGGAUGACGGCCUUCGGGUUGUAAACCUCUUUCAGCACGGAAGAAGCGAGAGUGACGGUACGUGCAGAAGAAGCGCCGGCUAACUACGU